RNAcentral lists this long non-coding RNA (2069 nucleotides) under Portunus trituberculatus (swimming crab). RNAcentral describes it as "uncharacterized LOC123507155". The record is from RNAcentral. Lineage: Eukaryota; Metazoa; Arthropoda; Malacostraca; Decapoda; Portunidae.
UGAACAAUGUGUAAUGGAUGUGUGUCAAAAAUCUUAGUGCUGGGAAUGACCUUGAGGAAGGCUGUAGGUAUGAGAAGAGUGGAAAUUCAUGAUCGCACUGAAGUAUAUGACAUGAAGAUAAAGAGACUGGCUAUAGGAUUCAAGUGCAGAGCUGUAAAAAAGAGGAAGGUGGCAUAUUCUGAAAUGAUAUUGACAUGCACAGAUAACAAGUGAAGACAUUGUUUCAGUAAGAUGCUCAGUAUAAAUGUAGGGACAAAGUGAGAGCAAGAAACCUCUUUUAAUGUUAGGAAGAAGAACAAAGCAGCAUACCAGACAGCAGUUUAAGAUACGGAUUAUGAUGUGAGAGGAAUGAAGGAGUUUUCAUAGAGGAUUCCUUGACAAAUUUUACCAUGAUCAUCUUUCAGUAAUACUAAAGACUCAAAGAUCAUUAACGUAUGCCUAAUUUUUUUAAUGCUGUCAUCCUUUUUUCAUCCUAUCACAUACCUGUGCUAUGUAGUGACAAUUUUCAGUUUUCUUCACCCACACCUUGGUUUUUCAUUCCACCAUCACUUUCGUUUACCUCCUUAGUGAAUCUAACUGGCAGGAUAUGAGUUCUGGUCUCAUGAUAACUUAUCACUGUGAGAGCAUACCAUGAGUGAUAAAAAUGUGCAGGCCUCUUGGCUCCCUUGCCCUCCCAAUGGCCUUUUUAGUCAACUACUGAUAAGGAGAGAUAACACUAGAUCAGAGUGGGUGGUCUGAUCUUUGGUGCAGCCCAGGGUAGAACAGGCAGUGGAAGCUCAGUCCUCAUGGUGGCAGGCUGUGAAGUUUGUGUUCCCUAGUUGUCCAGAAAUAGCCAAGGUUGGAAGGUGUCACACUAUCAGUAUUAAGAGACCUCGUACCUUUGAUGAGCACAUUAUUCUUCUGCGGUGAACAAAAUAUGUAAUGUGAGAACGUUAUGAUUCAUUUUGGAAGGUGGUGAAGGAAAUAGGCUAAUAAACAUUUUCUUCCUGACUAGUAUCAUUCAUGGGGCUUCUUCACAGGAAUCCUCCGAAAAUUCCAAUGGGUGAAACUAGUCAGGAAGAAAAUGUUCCUUUACCAGCCCAUGUUUCCUUAACCACCUUCCACAAAAUAUGUAAUCUUAAACCAUAAUUUUAGUGUCUGAAAAGUGUGCUACUCAUUGCCAAGGCAUUCUUUACCUAUGAUUCCACUUAGGUUGCAGCGACACUGUGCGUGAUUUGUUGAGAGGAUAGGGGGAUGCUUAGUGGGUAGAGGUGAGCAAGGCUGUGUCCUCAUCAAAAGAUGGAAACUCACUAUGCAAUAGUCAUUGCACAGUAUAUGUGCUGAUCAUGAUCACAUCUAUCAGUGCAAUCAUUGUCACUUUAAAAAUUCUCAAGAAAAUUGCUUUUAAGAAUGUGUUUCUAAAAUUAGAUGAUCUGGAUGUUAACAUAUCUUGCUGGAUUCAUGACUUUACCAGUGAUGAAUUCAACAACAUGUAUUGUCAAGCUUGCAUGUAUAACUUAGAGUUAUCUAUGCUAACCUAUAGGAUAGUCUAAUCCUUUCAUACUGAGUUAUCUAUGCUAACCUAUAGGAUAGUCUGAUCCUUUCAUACUGCUCAUGCUUUCUACUAGUGUAAGUGCAGGUCACCUGGCGUCUCACAACCUAUUGAGCUGUUUUAAUCAACAUCUGAGUUUACAUAGUGGCAAGGAUAGCAGGUAAGCUUGGAGGGAACCUAUUAUGCAUGUCUGUCAGAUAUGUGUUUAUUUUGGCCUUUAACCUGCUAGACAUCCCACUAGCCUUUAUCCUCCUAGCAAAUUGCAUGCAAUGUGGCCACACCCUUAUGCUUGCUAUCAAGAUUUUAGACUUCAGCUUGCCUGUUAUUAAAGAAAGGAUAUUCCAUGGUAACUUUAUAGUCUCCUCUGGCCUUCACAUUGUUUUUGUGGAUGUAGUCUUAGCCUUGUACUAAUGUAAAUUUUGUAUUUAAUUUUUAUCACCAUUGUAAUAUGGUUGCCCUAGCAUGACACAUGGCCUAGUAGUCAGCAUGUCUGUACUAGUUAACUAUGUGGAAUAAUAAAUCUAACUCUAUAUGGUUA